Molecule: ribosomal RNA, 301 nt
Filed under: uncultured bacterium
Lineage: Bacteria
Description: partial 16S ribosomal RNA
Rfam family: Bacterial small subunit ribosomal RNA
Source: RNAcentral
CAGUCGCCGCGGUAAUACGAAGGGUGCAAGCGUUACUCGGAAUUACUGGGCGUAAAGCGUGCGUAGGUGGUGGUUUAAGUCCGUUGUGAAAUCCCCGGGCUCAACCUGGGAAUGGCAGUGGAUACUGGCUCGCUAGAGUGUGUCAGAGGAUGGUGGAAUUCCCGGUGUAGCGGUGAAAUGCGUAGAGAUCGGGAGGAACAUCAGUGGCGAAGGCGGCCAUCUGGGACAACACUGACGCUGAGGCACGAAAGCGUGGGGAGCAAACAGGAUUAGAUACCCGCGUAGUCCCUGUCUCUUAUAU